AUCUGGAUGAUGAGUCUUAAAUAGGACGAAAUGCGCAUCCUGGAU
Molecule: non-coding RNA, 45 nt
Filed under: Trichobilharzia regenti
Lineage: Eukaryota; Metazoa; Platyhelminthes; Trematoda; Strigeidida; Schistosomatidae
Source: RNAcentral